CACGUAGGGUGCGAGCGUUGUCCGGAAUUAUUGGGCGUAAAGGGCGCGUAGGCGGCCAUCUAAGUCAGACGUGAAAUCCCCCGGCUUAACCUGGGAACUGCGUCUGAUACUGGAAGGCUUGAGUAUGGGAGAGGGAUGUAGAAUUCCAGGUGUAGCGGUGAAAUGCGUAGAUAUCUGGAGGAAUACCGGUGGCGAAGGCGGCAUCCUGGACCAUUACUGACGCUGAGGCGCGAAAGCUAGGGGAGCAAACGGG
This 253-nucleotide ribosomal RNA is filed under the name uncultured bacterium. RNAcentral's name for it is "partial 16S ribosomal RNA". It matches the Rfam family "Bacterial small subunit ribosomal RNA", at positions 524 to 776 of the family's 1533-position model. The record is from RNAcentral.